This is a long non-coding RNA of Linepithema humile (Argentine ant), 223 nucleotides long. RefSeq lists it as uncharacterized. NCBI's taxonomy places the organism in Eukaryota, Metazoa, Arthropoda, Insecta, Hymenoptera, Formicidae. The record is from RefSeq and is a predicted model, not a curated record.
UAGUUCACACAGUUACAUCUCGCGCUCCUUCUCAAUGGACGCCCGCGGUUGGCAGGUGAGCAGCGAGCACGUAUACACGCGCACGACUCUCGCAUCAUACACGUCUCCGACGUGGGUAAUGGGAUUCCUCCAUUCCCGUGGACGCCGAGGAGACGAGAAGAUAAAGGACACGACGAGAAUCGAUGAAAGAGGUCUUUACAAUGGCGAGCGAGCGAGAGAAAGA